Molecule: ribosomal RNA, 392 nt
Filed under: uncultured bacterium
Lineage: Bacteria
Description: bacterial SSU rRNA
Rfam family: Bacterial small subunit ribosomal RNA
Source: RNAcentral
GACGAACGCUGGCGGCGUGCUUAACACAUGCAAGUCGAGCGGUAAGGCCCUUUCGGGGGUACACGAGCGGCGAACGGGUGAGUAACACGNGGGUGACCUGCCCUCAGCUCUGGGAUAAGCCCGGGAAACUGGGUCUAAUACCGGAUAUGACUCCAUGACGCAUGUUGUGGGGUGGAAAGCCUUGUGCGGCUGAGGAUGGGCCCGCGGCCUAUCAGCUUGUUGGUGGGGUGAUGGCCUACCAAGGCGACGACGGGUAGCCGGCCUGAGAGGGCGACCGGCCACACUGGGACUGAGAUACGGCCCAGACUCCUACGGGAGGCAGCAGUGGGGAAUCUUGCGCAAUGGGCGAAAGCCUGACGCAGCGACGCCGCGUGAGGGAUGACGGCCUGUGU